UACGUAGGGUGCAAGCGUUGUCCGGAAUUAUUGGGCGUAAAGCGUGCGCAGGCGGUUGUGCAAGACAGAUGUGAAAGCCCCGGGCUCAACCCGGGAAGUGCACUCGAUACUGCCAAGCUAGAGUAUCGGAGAGGUUGGUGGAAUUCCCGGUGUAGAGGUGAAAUUCGUAGAUAUCGGGAGGAACACCGGUGGCGAAGGCGGCGAUCUGGGUCGAUACUGACGCUGAGGUGCGAAAGCGUGGGGAGCAAACAGG
RNAcentral lists this ribosomal RNA (253 nucleotides) under uncultured bacterium. RNAcentral's name for it is "partial 16S ribosomal RNA". It matches the Rfam family "Bacterial small subunit ribosomal RNA", at positions 524 to 776 of the family's 1533-position model. The record is from RNAcentral.